UGCACUUCGUAUCACUUUGGAAAGCGUAACGGGCAGCAGAUCACUCAAGUAUCGUCAACAUUUUUACAAACAACAGGGCGUGUAGUUUCAUUUCUGACUCACUUGCACUAUGUAACAUCUUGGAAAGCGAAACUGACAGCGAACAGGCCUGGGCCCAGUUUAAAGAGCACCUCGCGGAAUUCCCCAACGCUGAUCCGCAGAGACGAGGACAGUAACAGAGCGAAUCAUUACUGUCAACCAGACAACAAGGACUACAGAAAUACGCGUAUUUAAAAGUUUUAUGUAAUCUGCAAUUGGACACUAAAUCCUAUCAAAAAUAUUCACACGUUCAGCAAAGUGGACCAAUAGUAAUUCAGCCUGAAUGGAAAACCCAAACAGGGGCAGGAGAGGUAGAGGAGCCAACCAUGUCGAUCACAGAAUAGGUGCUGAGGCUGGUCAGAGAGAAGAGGAAGGGAUAGCCAACCCAGGGGGAAGGGGAAGGGGGGCCAGGGGAGGGAGGAGAGGUGUUAAUGGGGGGAACCCAAGGGAGGAUAGGAGAGCGCCAGACGCCAGGGGAGUAA
Oncorhynchus masou masou (cherry salmon) is the source of this 560-nucleotide long non-coding RNA. RefSeq lists it as uncharacterized. The transcript is spliced from 3 exons. The record is from RefSeq and is a predicted model, not a curated record. Lineage: Eukaryota; Metazoa; Chordata; Actinopteri; Salmoniformes; Salmonidae.